RNAcentral lists this ribosomal RNA (497 nucleotides) under uncultured bacterium. RNAcentral's name for it is "partial 16S ribosomal RNA". It matches the Rfam family "Bacterial small subunit ribosomal RNA", at positions 28 to 507 of the family's 1533-position model. The record is from RNAcentral.
GAUGAACGCUGGCGGCGUGCCUAAUACAUGCAAGUCGAGCGAACAGACGAGGAGCUUGCUCCUCUGACGUUAGCGGCGGACGGGUGAGUAACACGUGGAUAACCUACCUAUAAGACUGGGAUAAAUUCGGGAAACCGGAGCUAAUACCGGAUAAUAUAUUGAACCGCAUGGUUCAGUAGUGAAUGACGGUUUUGCUGUCACUUAUAGAUGGAUCCGCGCCGCAUUAGCUAGUUGGUAAGGUAACGGCUUACCAAGGCAACGAUGCGUAGCCGACCUGAGAGGGUGAUCGGCCACACUGGAACUGAGACACGGUCCAGACUCCUACGGGAGGCAGCAGUAGGGAAUCUUCCGCAAUGGGCGAAAGCCUGACGGAGCAACGCCGCGUGAGUGAUGAAGGUCUUCUGAUCGUAAAACUCUGUUAUUAGGGAAGAACAAAUGUGUAAGUAACUAUGCACGUCUUGACGGUACCUAAUCAGAAAGCCACGGCUAACUCCGUG